RNAcentral lists this ribosomal RNA (569 nucleotides) under Phyllopezus maranjonensis. Its description in RNAcentral is "partial 16S ribosomal RNA". It matches the Rfam family "Bacterial large subunit ribosomal RNA", at positions 1811 to 2606 of the family's 2925-position model. The record is from RNAcentral. Lineage: Eukaryota; Metazoa; Chordata; Lepidosauria; Squamata; Phyllodactylidae.
AAACAUAGCCUUUAGCCCACCAAGUAUUAAAGGUGUCGCCUGCCCAGUGAACCAACUUUAACGGCCGCGGUAUCCUAACCGUGCAAAGGUAGCGUAAUCAUUUGUCCCCUAAAUAGGGACCUGUAUGAAUGGCUAGAUGAGGGCCUAACUGUCUCCUGCAGCAAACCAAUGAAACUGAUCUCCCAGUACAAAAGCUGGGAUAACCACACAAGACGAGAAGACCCUGUGGAGCUUUAAACCUAUACACUACACCCAUAAAACAAAACCAAUAGGGUCUAAAACCGUUAAUAUAGUGUAAGUUUUAAGUUGGGGCGACUACGGAAUAAAAUAAACCAUCCACGAAACAGGGUAAACACCCCCAUUCAAGGCCCACAAGCCAAAAAUAUAUAAACAAUUGACCCAGUAACACUGACCACCGAACCAAGUUACCCCAGGGAUAACAGCGCCAUCCUCUUUAAGAGUCCAUAUCGCCAAGAGGGUUUACGACCUCGAUGUUGGAUCAGGACCCCCAGGCGGUGCAGCCGCUGCCAAUGGUUCGUUUGUUCAACGACUAAUGUCCUACGUGAUCU